UAGGGAAUCUUCGGCAAUGGGGGGAACCCUGACCGAGCAACGCCGCGUGAGUGAAGAAGGUUUUCGGAUCGUAAAGCUCUGUUGUUAAGGAAGAACGAGUGUGAGAAUGGAAAGUUCAUACUGUGACGGUACUUAACCAGAAAGGGACGGCUAACUACGUGUCAGCAGCCGCGGUAAUACGUAGGUCCCGAGCGUUGUCCGGAUUUAUUGGGCGUAAAGCGAGCGCAGGCGGUUAGAUAAGUCUGAAGUUAAAGGCAGUGGCUCAACCAUUGUAGGCUUUGGAAACUGUUUAACUUGAGUGCAGAAGGGGGGAGUGGAAUUCCAUGUGUAGCGGUGAAAUGCGUGGAUAUAUGGAGGAACACCGGUGGCGAAAGCGGCUCUCUGGUAUGUAACUGACGAGGAGGCUCGAAAGCGUGGGGAGCGAACAGG
RNAcentral lists this ribosomal RNA (429 nucleotides) under Bacteroidota bacterium. RNAcentral describes it as "Bacteroidetes bacterium partial 16S ribosomal RNA". It matches the Rfam family "Bacterial small subunit ribosomal RNA", at positions 355 to 776 of the family's 1533-position model. The record is from RNAcentral. Lineage: Bacteria; Pseudomonadati; Bacteroidota.